GAUAUGGUCAGAAUUAUGCCGCUUUUCCUGAUUCGUCUCAUCUCGUCAUAGAGUAUGUGUGGUGGCAACGUCCCACCACACAUACUCUUCCCACUGGAAACCACUAAAAACAUAAACAAAUCCAGAUGAUAUUUGCAGCUUUUUGCAAAAAAUUUAAAAUUCCCACCGAAACUUGCGAACUUUUUACCCCACCGAGUUCAUCAGUUUCGCCACUAUGUGAUUUAUGAGGAUUGGUUUAACAUAAAAUAUAGUUAACUCUUAAUGAUGUCGCACAACUUAACGAGUAAUUACGCCUUAUCCGUGAAAUAGGACCCAUUUUUUAGCAAAUGGAAAUAUGUGCUUAUCUAAAAUUUUGUUCAUGAAGGCUUAUUACAUUUCAUUAAAGUCGUCGUAAUCAAAUUUAUGCUUUGCAUCUCUGUCCGAAAUCUUUUGCCCAGCCCAGUCCUAGAAAAGACGAGGAGUGGAAAACUAGUUAUAAAAAAAUGUGUAAGCCUGAAGAACAAAAUGUGCAAGAAAUGGCGGAGGUCGAAGAAGUUCCUGCAGACCUGGCCGAGUUAGAAUUUUUGAUGGAUUACAUCGCUACGAAUUGGUCAGUGGAAAGGGGCCGUCACUUGGACCAAGAGGAAAAUAUCGUCAUUUCAGGCUCAACCGAUUCUGGAAUGGAAGUAGAUAUUUCCGAGGAAGAAAACAUUUCCUAGGAGAAUGAGAAUGAUGCUGCAUCGGACGAUUACGCCGCCGCUGGGAAUGUUCCUGGGAAUCAAACCGAAACCGGAAAUGUUCCGGAAUAGAAGGAAUUAAUCCGAUUUGGUCACAUAUUUACCGGGAUUAUUGAAUAAACAUAAUGUUGCAUAUUUUUAUGUGUGUAACUUCAUACAUAUGUGGCUUUUAUCAGUUUGAGAAUGUGACUUUAAAAUAAAUACUGGAUCGUCAUUUAGGAACAUAAA
Folsomia candida is the source of this 944-nucleotide long non-coding RNA. RefSeq lists it as uncharacterized. The record is from RefSeq and is a predicted model, not a curated record. Lineage: Eukaryota; Metazoa; Arthropoda; Collembola; Entomobryomorpha; Isotomidae. The transcript is spliced from 3 exons.